RNAcentral lists this ribosomal RNA (484 nucleotides) under uncultured bacterium. Its description in RNAcentral is "partial 16S ribosomal RNA". It matches the Rfam family "Bacterial small subunit ribosomal RNA", at positions 30 to 507 of the family's 1533-position model. The record is from RNAcentral.
AUUGAACGCUGGCGGAAUGCUUUACACAUGCAAGUCGAACGGCAGCACGGGGGCAACCCUGGUGGCGAGUGGCGAACGGGUGAGUAAUACAUCGGAACGUGCCCGGUCGUGGGGGAUAACGUAGCGAAAGUUACGCUAAUACCGCAUACGAUCUGAGGAUGAAAGCGGGGGACCUUCGGGCCUCGCGCGAUCGGAGCGGCCGAUGUCAGAUUGGGUAGUUGGUGGGGGAAAGGCCUACCAAGCCGACGAUCUGUAGCUGGUCUGAGAGGACGACCAGCCACACUGGGACUGAGACACGGCCCAGACUCCUACGGGAGGCAGCAGUGGGGAAUUUUGGACAAUGGGCGCAAGCCUGAUCCAGCCAUUCCGCGUGCAGGACGAAGGCCUUCGGGUUGUAAACUGCUUUUGUAUGGAACGAAAAGGCUCUGGCUAAUACCUGGGGCUCAUGACGGUACCGUAAGAAUAAGCACCGGCUAACUACGUG